GACGAACGCUGGCGGCGUGCUUAACACAUGCAAGUCGAACGGAAAGGCCCUGCUUUUGUGGGGUGCUCGAGUGGCGAACGGGUGAGUAACACGUGAGUAACCUGCCCUUGACUUUGGGAUAACUUCAGGAAACUGGGGCUAAUACCGGAUAGGAGCUCCUGCUGCAUGGUGGGGGUUGGAAAGUUUCGGCGGUUGGGGAUGGACUCGCGGCUUAUCAGCUUGUUGGUGGGGUAGUGGCUUACCAAGGCUUUGACGGGUAGCCGGCCUGAGAGGGUGACCGGCCACAUUGGGAAUGAGAUACGGAGCAGGCUGCUACGGGAGGCAGCAGUGGGGAAUAAUGCAGAAUGGGCGGAAGCCUGAGGCAGAAACGCCGCGUGCGGGAGGACGGCCUUCGGGUUGUAAACCGAUUUCGCAUGUGACGAAGCGUGAGUGACGGUAAUGGGUAAAGAAGCACCGGCUAACUACGUG
Molecule: ribosomal RNA, 468 nt
Filed under: uncultured bacterium
Lineage: Bacteria
Description: partial 16S ribosomal RNA
Rfam family: Bacterial small subunit ribosomal RNA
Source: RNAcentral